AAAAAUUUAGUUAAAAAAUAACGUCAGUUUGUCAAACUGGAAUCAUUAUCAAAUAAUAAUUUUUA
RNAcentral lists this transfer RNA (65 nucleotides) under Peploptera acromialis. RNAcentral describes it as "tRNA-Asp". The record is from RNAcentral. Lineage: Eukaryota; Metazoa; Arthropoda; Insecta; Coleoptera; Chrysomelidae.